AGAUCUGGCAGAGCUUCCUGUCUCCCACUGUGGUCCCCGCAGGGUCUCUGUUCUGCCCUCAGCUGGUUCUUCUCACCUGAAGGCACCCUCUACUGAGGGCUCAGUACCCUCAGGCACUCUGCUGAGGACUCUGCAGGAACAGCCUCAUUAAAUCCCACAAGCACCAGGUCUUUUUUGGAUCCCAUGUGUCAAGCAUAGAGCUAGCCUGAAAGGCAUGGGCAAACAUCUUCCCAGACUCUCUCAGAUGGCGUGGUAACCCUCUGAGACUUCUGUGACUGCAUCUGUGCUUCCGUCUGUCUGUCUGUGAAUUCUGCCAGAGCACAGGGAAGACUAAAAUGUUGGUCUUUCAAUGGGCAUCUGUGGGCAGAGCCACUGGGAAGGUUGUGAGCUUAUGAAAGGAUGACAUUACAAUAUAGACACAGGAAGGAAGGCCAAGAUUCGGAGAGAAUCAGAGACCUGUAGUACACCAACUUAGCAAGCAAGAAUGGCGGCAACAAUGGUCCUCAGGCCUGUCUGGCCACUCACCAGCGGCUCCAAGUCCGGCAGACUCUCAUGCAGACACACAGCUCACGGGGUCCAAGGUGCUGGAAGACACGAAGCCAGGCAGCCC
Mastomys coucha (southern multimammate mouse) is the source of this 610-nucleotide long non-coding RNA. RefSeq lists it as uncharacterized. Lineage: Eukaryota; Metazoa; Chordata; Mammalia; Rodentia; Muridae. The transcript is spliced from 3 exons. The record is from RefSeq and is a predicted model, not a curated record.